Molecule: long non-coding RNA, 1801 nt
Organism: Neopelma chrysocephalum (saffron-crested tyrant-manakin)
Lineage: Eukaryota; Metazoa; Chordata; Aves; Passeriformes; Pipridae
Exons: 2
Source: RefSeq, a predicted model, not a curated record
AAAUGAAGCUCCCUGUUUGCCUUGAUGUCAUCAAAACCCUUGUUGCUAAAGAAAUUCAAUUAAACUCAGACCAACUCCCACUGAAAUUCAAAUUUGGUGAUUUGUGACUAAUUAGAAGAGAAUAUUUUCAGUUGGAAGGGACCUACAGUGAUCGAAUUAGAUGUUUUAAGCUCCCUGAAAAUGUCUCCUGUCUACAAACUUUUCUUCAAUUGGACAUGGUUUUGCAAUUAUACAUAAUUUUAUUCACUAAUAUAUAGAGAAUCAUUAUUAUGUGUAAGUUUUAUUGCAUAGAAUAAUGGGACAUAGCACAUAUUUUUUAAUAGGAAAUAGAAAAUGUGGACCUUGGUAAAAAUAUUGAUGAUUGUGCACAGUGAUGGCAGGGUAAGACUUGUUCUCUAAACGGCAUCAGAUUUUAUUCAGGAGACAUUUUCUCUUUAAAACAAUAAAAAAAAAUCAUUUAAAAUUAAAAAAAGGCCCUCUGGAGAACAGCAACACUUUCUCAUGGAGAAACAGGCUCAUCACUUCUGAUUUUCUUCUGCACAGUGGGUGGAAGAGGGAUCCCAAAUGCUUUCCUGCUUCACAGGACAUGGGAGCAGCUCUGGGAUGUCGCUGGUGUCUGUGGGACUUCUUCUGACCAAUGCUAUUUGUCUGAAUUCCCAGGAAUGUUGCUUGUUAUUCGGAGCGGAAAAAUGUUCUAUUUUUGGCUGUGACAACUUCUUUUUUUUUUCUGGGGGAAAAAAAUGUUUUACACAAAGCAUAGCAAGGGUUGGGGGUGUGUGUGUAGGUCUGGGUGGUAUGGGAUGGGGAUGGAGCGAGGCAGAGCUUCAGGCAAAGACACCAGGGAGUGAUUAAUGCUCUACUUGCAAUUUAAGGUGUCCUUGUUAAGUGGAUAAUGAUGGUGGAGAUCCUGGUAGAUUGGAUAUGUGGGAGGGUGUCUCUCUGACCAUAAAAAAGAUCAGAAUCAAUGGGAAUCUUCGCUGGUUUGUCCUGCCAUGGGAAACUAAGGGUGGUUACAGCUCGUGAAACAUGUACUUGUCUUUCUGGAAAGAAAGGGAAGUUGUUAAAGUGUAACUGUGGCUGGUUUUUUUUACAUAAACAAUCUCUUGCACAUUUAAAAAUGGGUUUUUUUCACCCAGUGUCCCAGAUCUGUGACCCUUUAAGUCUCUAGAAAACCGGUUGUGUUCAACUGGUUUUUCAAUUAGCAAGGAGCCUUGGCACACCCCCCGUGAGGGCUGGUGGGAAGACGGAGCCCAAGGAAGAAGGGAGCUGCUCCUGGGGGAAGUGAUGUACCUGGAGAGCCCGGGUCUGUGGGAUGUCAGCUGUUCUCCUUUUGGACAGACGUGUUUGCUGGGUUUAAAGCAGGAUGUGGCUGCGGGAGACUGUCUCCAAAAGAGGAUUCCAAGAGGAAGCCUCCAUGGAGCAGAGCAUCAUGAUGUGGAGCCAACAGAAACACCAAAGAACAAGAAAGAAUAAUCUGGUGUCUGGUGGAGGAGAGGGGAUGGGGCUUGGGAUAAGAGGAUGAUUUAGGUCAGAAGAGCCUUCUUGGGGUCUCUAGUCCAACCUUUACCCCAUACCACACCAGCUGUAAGAUACUUUGUGCCAAUGCUGCAAUCUUCUGGUUUCCAGUGGCAUUGCUGGAAUCAGGUGGGAUGGCUUUCCUGGGAUGUCAGACUGCCUAGAAAGGCACUUGGCCUCCAGGAUCCUGCCUCUUGCAAACAGAGUGCCUGUCACCAAACCUCUGAAAAUCUGGAGAGGGAGGGGGAAAAUCCUCUUGAGUGCCUGCAGGUCAAUGUCCUUCCAG